AAGAGAACAAGGAAGAGCCUUUUGCCAGAAGACAUGAGAGGAGGCGGUAGAGGUGACUACCGGCGUGGAAGAUGGGGUACCGACGCUCUGAGAAGACUGAUUUUUUUUUUCCAGGAUCACACAGUGAGUGAUUUGGACUGAGACUGCUGGCAAGACACCCAGAGCCUGGCAGGACAAACAGAUACGCGCCACCCUUUGUUCUUGAAGCUGGAAAUAAUCGUUAAGCAAACGAUGAAAGAUGUGAAUAAAAGAUGGAAGGAAGAAGAAGAAGAAGAAGAAGAAGAAGAAGAAGGAGAAGGAGAAGAAGAAGAAGAAGAAGAAGAAGAA
This is a long non-coding RNA of Apodemus sylvaticus (European woodmouse), 327 nucleotides long. RefSeq lists it as uncharacterized. The record is from RefSeq and is a predicted model, not a curated record. The transcript is spliced from 3 exons. Lineage: Eukaryota; Metazoa; Chordata; Mammalia; Rodentia; Muridae.